Molecule: long non-coding RNA, 1137 nt
Filed under: Mus musculus (house mouse)
Lineage: Eukaryota; Metazoa; Chordata; Mammalia; Rodentia; Muridae
Description: long non-coding RNA chr16:93603831-93604968
Source: RNAcentral
GGUCCUGACUUCCGUUCCGGGAGAGGUUCCACACGCGCAGAGGAAAUUGGGGUCUGGAGCUACACAGAACUCAAAAAAGCCAACGGAACCCCGCUCCCGUUGCCCAGGCAACGCCAGGCCCACCGGAAGUGCUCCUGCUUACCUUAGAAACCGCGGCGAAGCCGGGGUACGGACGCAGACCGCUCCACCAGCUACGGAGAAAGCGGCUGCGGUGCGGCGAGCCUACGCCUCUGGCACGCGCAUGCGCAACUCCCAGGCCUCCACAGCUACGCCAUAACGCGAUGAGCAUAGCUGCUGACCCAUGCUCCAAAUAGCCAACGGGAAGUCUUUCCUCACCGUGUCCUUUCUUCCUCCGACUUCCUGCCCCCUCCACCAGACUGGCUUACCUGAUCCCCACCUUGCCCUGCCCUCCAGCUGCCAGGACCCAGGCGGUCCAUUCUCCCAGACAGCCUGUCCCCCGCCUUUCCUCUUAUCCACUAUGAAGGCAUUUCUGUCUUGUCCCAAGACUGUUACUGGAACUGUUAGGGUCAGAGUAAAAGUACGAAUUAGGAUUAUGGGAAGAAAUAAAAAGAGAGAGAGAGAGAGAAUUUAGACGUCCUCAAACAGCGAGGAGCAAGCUUUACUCAAAGAAGUGGGUUUUCUAGUUCUAGCUCUGCAUGUCGCGAUCCAAGCACGGGACUUUGUCACAUAAAGACCAGAGGUCAGGAAAAGGCACAUUUCAUGCUUUAAGCUGGAGUUUUUGUAGCUAAGGAUGUGGAAGGGAGAAAGGGACAGAAUGAGAAAGCUGGGUUCUGACACUACAGCGCCUGUUGUACGUUUUUGCAACCACUGCCACUGGGAUAGAUAUCUGAUGUGUUAGAAUGUCAGGUCGCGUCUUAACAGCAUACUAGGCCAAAACAGUUCCACGUGGAAGAGGUUUUAUUGAGAGAGAGGGACGAGGUGGCGGCGGAAAGAGAAAAGAGGGAGUGACAGAGGGGGCGUUCUCCUUAUUUAUAUGGAAAAUGACGUAAUGAAGGUAAAGGUGGGAGGUGAGCCAAGUGGAUGCUGGGAAUAUGCUGCAGGUCGCGCUGUCGCCUAUGUGAUGUCAUAGGUUUGGGAGGUCCUGAUGCUAACAAUAUCAGCUACUUUUUAUUUCUG